AGGCCAUCUCCCUUCCUGACUUUCUCCCCUUUCUCCUGGGGGAUUUGAGUAUAUAUGAUUUGAGGGAAAGGAACUGAGAGUGGGUUUGAGGGGUAAAGUUUCUAGGAGUGAAAGAGCAAAGAUUUUUCCCCAAGAGAAGGAACAGAUGUCUGCAGUUUUUGGGAUACCUGUCACGGUGCUCUGGGGUCCAUCCUCCACAGAACCUCAGGAAGAUGACAGGCCGCCCAGAGGUACCAACUCCAUGAAAAAUUAAGACCCUGGAUGAUGCUCCGAUGACGUGUUUGCCAGAUUAUUCUCAAACCCCCUGAUUCCAAGUCCACCCACGUGCCCUCUCCCUCCUCCGCCACAUUUGUCAACAGGGCACACCAGAGCCUUCCCUAGAUCACUCCAGGCAGUGGCAAGUUCUGGGGCUGCCAGCUGUGGGGCCCUUCCCGGGUUGUCCC
RNAcentral lists this long non-coding RNA (443 nucleotides) under Vulpes vulpes (red fox). Its description in RNAcentral is "lncRNA (ENSVVUG00000001881.1)". Lineage: Eukaryota; Metazoa; Chordata; Mammalia; Carnivora; Canidae. The record is from RNAcentral.